Molecule: unclassified non-coding RNA, 224 nt
Filed under: uncultured Gammaproteobacteria bacterium
Lineage: Bacteria; Pseudomonadati; Pseudomonadota; Gammaproteobacteria
Description: contains 16S-23S intergenic spacer region
Source: RNAcentral
UCCGGUUUGUCACCGGCAGUCCCAUUAGAGUGCCCAACUGAAUGUAGCAACUAAUGGCAAGGGUUGCGCUCGUUGCGGGACUUAACCCAACAUCUCACGACACGAGCUGACGACAGCCAUGCAGCACCUGUGUUGCGGUUCCCUUUCGGGCACCGAGACAUCUCUAUGAGGUUCCGUACAUGUCAAGGGUAGGUAAGGUGGGGAUGACGUUGUGGAAGCAAGCU